GCCUGGGUGGCUCAGUCGGUUAAGCGUCUGACCUUGGCUCAGAUCGUGAUCUCACAGUUUGUGAGUUCAAGCCCCACGUCAGGCU
Non-coding RNA from Felis catus (domestic cat), 85 nucleotides. Lineage: Eukaryota; Metazoa; Chordata; Mammalia; Carnivora; Felidae. The record is from Rfam.